AUGUAUACCGAGAGUAAAUUUCAAACUCUUUCCUAUAUUUUUCGCAGACUUUUAUCUUUUUCCAAACAGAGGUAUGGCGCAUCGAUAUCAUUAAAACUUAACCAUCGCCGUGUUUCGGCUUAACCACGGUGAUGGUUAAGUUUGAUCGAUAUCGGUGCGCCAUAUCUAUUUGGAAAAGUCUGAAAUUUGUUAGAUUUAAAAUUCUAUACGAUAAAAUUAUUUGGGUUAGCAUCUCGGCCUUUAAAAGUAAAGAAAAUGAAGAUUUACCAUUUCCAUAUACGUAUCGCGUCAGUUAUAAAAUAUUUGGCAAUUUCUCUGAUGCCAUAAAUAUACUGUACACUUAAAUUCCUUCGAUUUGUGAUCGAGGAAAUUCAAACCGAUGGUUUGAAGAGGCUCUCGGUAAAUUCGCUUCUUUCCGUUUGUCCCGCUAAUGUCAUUCUCGUCCUAAGCAGUUACGAAAGUUUCCAUUCCGAUCCGUACCAAAGUCGUAACAAUGUUUACAAAGAUUUGCCAGGUUUUCUUAUUCUUGGGCCGGUUAACCGCCUCUUCGUACUCUCUUAACAGAGGAAGCCAAUGACUUCGAAUGACUGAUACAGCGCUUUCGAAAGAUGUAGCGAGCCACAGUCGAUUAUCGAAGAUAGUCGCUUAUACUACCCUCGUUCUAGCCAAGUUAAUCGGGAUAAAAGUAACUCAGAUUCAGUUAACCGGCAACACGGUAAUCGGAAUAAUUUCGGUGUUCGUACCAGGCUAAGUUAAACGAGAUUAACGGGUGGAUCGGUUUGAUAUAGUCGGGAAAACUUUUUCGGAUAUGGAGAUCGAAUGUCAGAAUUUGGAUUCGUUAUCUUAUUAAAGUGGAGCGAUCGUUCCCGGUCUGGUAAUUCCUGAAAAGUUUUUUCGGGGUGCUGGGCCCGGCCCGGCCAUUCCCGUCCUUCGUCAUCCGGCCCCCCUUCCGCGGGUGUGGGUGGGGCCCGUGGUCGGAGCUGGCCCCACUCCUUAGUAAUCUCCGAUUGGAAAAGGGCGUAAAAUAUGCAAAAAAAAAAACUCCAAUGGUAAUA
RNAcentral lists this long non-coding RNA (1055 nucleotides) under Androctonus crassicauda. The record is from RNAcentral. Lineage: Eukaryota; Metazoa; Arthropoda; Arachnida; Scorpiones; Buthidae.